RNAcentral lists this long non-coding RNA (752 nucleotides) under Danio rerio (zebrafish). RNAcentral's name for it is "lncRNA (ENSDARG00000117826.1)". Lineage: Eukaryota; Metazoa; Chordata; Actinopteri; Cypriniformes; Danionidae. The record is from RNAcentral.
AAUCAUUCCCCUAUGAUGUGGCAUUUAUUUGCAGAUAAGUCUGAUGGUUGUCGCCUGUGACAGAAAGGUAAUCAGCUACUUGGUGAUACAAAGAGACAGUGUCGAGGCUCCUGGGGACAUAUAGACGAACAAAUCUCAUGAAGAAAAUGCAAAGCAUGACAAAAUCCAUGAGACUUAAGAAAGAGGAACAAUUCAUCAUACUGCAGGGACCCCCGACAGUUUCCUGUUUAUAAUGCCAGUCAGACUGUUAGACCAGAAUCUAAAAUAAUGCAACAUAAUGCAACACUUCAGUGCACUUAUAUAUUUUUUUAAUGGGAAGCAACAUAAGAUUUUAUAUGAAAUAGACUAAAGUUAUAAGUCUUGCAGGGAUUUCUGGGACGGUUCUUAAAGGAGAUAAUUUACCCAAAAAAGAAAAUAUACUCAUUAAACUUCUCCUUAAGUGGUUCCAUUCCUUUAACCAUUUCCUUUUUCUGUUGAACACAAAAUUAAAUAUUGUUAAAAAUGUAUUGUUUGUGUUGAACUGAAAAAUAAAGCUCAAACAGGUUUGUAACAAGUAAAGGAAGAGUAAAUGAUGACAAAAUUUUUAGUUUCACCGAACUAUCCCUUUAAAUAAAUUUUCUUAUGUGAGUUCUUAUACUUGCAUACUAACUAACUAACUAGCUUCAUACAUACUGUUGAAGUCAAUUAUUAGCCCCCCUUUGAAUUUUUUCUUUUCGUUUUUAAAUUUUUCCCCAAAUGAUGUUUAACAAGGC